RNAcentral lists this transfer RNA (66 nucleotides) under Argyrops bleekeri (Taiwan tai). Its description in RNAcentral is "tRNA-Cys". The record is from RNAcentral. Lineage: Eukaryota; Metazoa; Chordata; Actinopteri; Spariformes; Sparidae.
AGCUCCGAGGUGUUUUACAUGCUGGAUUGCAAACCCAGAGUAGUAGACUAGCGUCUACCGGGGCUU